AGGGUUUGAUCAUGGCUCAGAACGUACGCUGGCGGCACGCCUAAUACAUGCAAGUCGAACGAAGUAGCAAUACUUAGUGGCAGACGGGUGAGUAACAUGUAGGUAUCUGCCCUUUGGCCUGGAAUAACACGAGGAAACUUGUGCUAAUACCGGAUAAGUCUUUACGGAGAAAGCUUUAUGCACCAUUGGAUGAGCCUGCACUUGAUUAGUUUGUUGGUGGGGUAAUGUCCUACCAAGACGAUGAUCAAUAGCUGAUUUGAGAGGAUGAUCAGCCACAUUGGGACUGAGACACGGCCCAAACUCCUACGGGAGGCAGCAGUAGGGAAUCUUGCACAAUGGAGGAAACUCUGAUGCAGCGAUGCCGCGUGAGUGAAGAAGGCCUUUGGGUUGUAAAGCUCUUUCGUCGGGGAAGAAAAUGACUGUACCCGAAUAAGAAGGUCCGGCUAACUUCGUGCCAGCAGCCGCGGUAAUACGAAGGGACCUAGCGUAGUUCGGAAUUACUGGGCUUAAAGAGUUCGUAGGUGGUUAAAAAAGUUGGUGGUGAAAUCCCAGAGCUUAACUCUGGAACUGCCAUCAAAACUUUU
RNAcentral lists this ribosomal RNA (584 nucleotides) under uncultured bacterium. Its description in RNAcentral is "bacterial SSU rRNA". It matches the Rfam family "Bacterial small subunit ribosomal RNA", at positions 8 to 637 of the family's 1533-position model. The record is from RNAcentral.